This 1342-nucleotide ribosomal RNA is filed under the name uncultured bacterium. RNAcentral describes it as "16S ribosomal RNA". It matches the Rfam family "Bacterial small subunit ribosomal RNA", at positions 28 to 1378 of the family's 1533-position model. The record is from RNAcentral.
GACGAACGCUGGCGGCGUGCUUAACACAUGCAAGUCGAACGGAAAGGCCCUGCUUUUGUGGGGUGCUCGAGUGGCGAACGGGUGAGUAACACGUGAGUAACCUGCCCUUGACUUUGGGAUAACUUCAGGAAACUGGGGCUAAUACCGGAUAGGAGCUCCUGCUGCAUGGUGGGGGUUGGAAAGUUUCGGCGGUUGGGGAUGGACUCGCGGCUUAUCAGCUUGUUGGUGGGGUAGUGGCUUACCAAGGCUUUGACGGGUAGCCGGCCUGAGAGGGUGACCGGCCACAUUGGGACUGAGAUACGGCCCAGACUCCUACGGGAGGCAGCAGUGGGGAAUAUUGCACAAUGGGCGGAAGCCUGAUGCAGCAACGCCGCGUGCGGGAUGACGGCCUUCGGGUUGUAAACCGCUUUCGCCUGCGACGAAGCGUGAGUGACGGUAAUGGGUAAAGAAGCACCGGCUAACUACGUGCCAGCAGCCGCGGUGAUACGUAGGGUGCGAGCGUUGUCCGGAUUUAUUGGGCGUAAAGGGCUCGUAGGUGGUUGAUCGCGUCGGAAGUGUAAUCUUGGGGCUUAACCCUGAGCGUGCUUUCGAUACGGGUUGACUUGAGGAAGGUAGGGGAGAAUGGAAUUCCUGGUGGAGCGUGGAAUGCGCAGAUAUCAGGAGGAACACCAGUGGCGAAGGCGGUUCUCUGGGCCUUUCCUGACGCUGAGGAGCGAAAGCGUGGGGAGCGAACAGGCUUAGAUACCCUGGUAGUCCACGCUGUAAACGGUGGGUACUAGGUGUGGGGUCCAUUCCACGGGUUCCGUGCCGUAGCUAACGCUUUAAGUACCCCGCCUGGGGAGUACGGCCGCAAGGCUAAAACUCAAAGGAAUUGACGGGGCCCCGCACAAGCGGCGGAGCAUGCGGAUUAAUUCGAUGCAACGCGUAGAACCUUACCUGGGUUUGACAUGGAUCGGGAGUGCUCAGAGAUGGGUGUGCCUCUUUUGGGGUCGGUUCACAGGUGGUGCAUGCCUGUCGUCAGCUCGUGUCGUGAGAUGUUGGGUUAAGUCCCGCAACGAGCGCAACCCUUGUUCACUGUUGCCAGCACGUUAUGGUGGGGACUCAGUGGAGACCGCCGGGGUCAACUCGGAGGAAGGUGGGGAUGACGUCAAGUCAUCAUGCCCCUUAUGUCCAGGGCUUCACGCAUGCUACAAUGGCUGGUACAGAGAGUGGCGAGCCUGUGAGGGUGAGCGAAUCUCGGAAAGCCGGUCUCAGUUCGGAUUGGGGUCUGCAACUCGACCUCAUGAAGUCGGAGUCGCUAGUAAUCGCAGAUCAGCAACGCUGCGGUGAAUAAGUUCCCGGG